RNAcentral lists this ribosomal RNA (506 nucleotides) under Homoroselaps lacteus. Its description in RNAcentral is "partial 16S ribosomal RNA". It matches the Rfam family "Bacterial large subunit ribosomal RNA", at positions 1816 to 2597 of the family's 2925-position model. Lineage: Eukaryota; Metazoa; Chordata; Lepidosauria; Squamata; Atractaspididae. The record is from RNAcentral.
AACCUUUAGCCAAACAAGUAUUAAAGGCAACGCCUGCCCAGUGAACAAUUAAACGGCCGCGGUACCCUAACCGUGCAAAGGUAGCGUAAUCACUUGUCUAUUAAUUGUAGACCCGUAUGAAAGGCAAAAUGAGGGCCAAACUGUCUCUUAUAAUAAAUCAAUUAAACUGAUCUCCCGGUCAAAAAGCCGGGAUUCCCACAUAAGACCAGAAGACCCUGUGAAGCUUAAACCAAACUAUUAACCCAAAUAAUAGCUACUUUCGGUUGGGGCGACCUUGGAAAAAAAAAGAACUUCCAAAUCAUGACUUCACUCACACCCAACAGGCACACAUGCCAAAACAAGACCCAGCACAGCUGACAAUUGAACCAAGUUACUCCAGGGAUAACAGCGCUAUCUUCUUCAAGAGCCCAUAUCAAAAAGAAGGUUUACGACCUCGAUGUUGGAUCAGGACAUCCUAAUGGUGCAGCCGCUAUUAAGGGUUCGUUUGUUCAACGAUUAACAGUCCU